This 484-nucleotide ribosomal RNA is filed under the name uncultured bacterium. RNAcentral describes it as "partial 16S ribosomal RNA". It matches the Rfam family "Bacterial small subunit ribosomal RNA", at positions 30 to 507 of the family's 1533-position model. The record is from RNAcentral.
AUUGAACGCUGGCGGCAGGCCUAACACAUGCAAGUCGAGCGGAUGAAGGGAGCUUGCUCCUGGAUUCAGCGGCGGACGGGUGAGUAAUUCCUAGGAAUCUGCCUGGUAGUGGGGGAUAACGUCCGGAAACGGGCGCUAAUACCGCAUACGUCCUGAGGGAGAAAGUGGGGGAUCUUCGGACCUCACGCUAUCAGAUGAGCCUAGGUCGGAUUAGCUAGUUGGUGGGGUAAAGGCCUACCAGGGCGACGAUCCGUAACUGGUCUGAGAGGAUGAUCAGUCACACUGGAACUGAGACACGGUCCAGACUCCUACGGGAGGCAGCAGUGGGGAAUAUUGGACAAUGGGCGAAAGCCUGAUCCAGCCAUGCCGCGUGUGUGAAGAAGGUCUUCGGAUUGUAAAGCACUUUAAGUUGGGAGGAAGAGCAGUAAGUUAAUACCUUGCUGUUUUGACGUUACCAACAGAAUAAGCACCGGCUAACUUCGUG